CCCUUAGAUGUUCUGGGCCGCACGCGUGCUACACUGAGUGGAUCAGCGGGUCAGGUUGCGCGAAAGUGUUUCCUAAUCUUUAAAUCCGCUCGUGAUGGGGAUUGACGGUUGCAAUUUUCCGUCAUGAACGAGGAAUACCUUGUAAGCGCGGGUCAUCAUCCCGCGCUGAAUACGUCCCUGCCCUUUGUACACACCGCCCGUCGCUCCUACCGAUUGAGUGGUCCGGUGAGGCUUUGGGAUCUGAGCGGAAAGAGCGUUUCGCUGUUUCUGCCCGGAAAACUCAGUCGAACCUUAUCAUUUACAGGAAGGAGAAGUCGUAACA
Molecule: ribosomal RNA, 322 nt
Filed under: uncultured eukaryote
Lineage: Eukaryota
Description: partial 18S ribosomal RNA
Rfam family: Eukaryotic small subunit ribosomal RNA
Source: RNAcentral